Non-coding RNA from Rattus norvegicus (Norway rat), 4266 nucleotides. The record is from RefSeq and is a predicted model, not a curated record. NCBI's taxonomy places the organism in Eukaryota, Metazoa, Chordata, Mammalia, Rodentia, Muridae.
CCAGCUUGAUCUCGGGAGCAAUGAGGGGCAGCGGAAAGGUUCACACAGAAAACAUUCGGUUUUAUUUCAGCAAAGAUGAGCACAACCUGGGGUCCCAGAGGAUUGUGAAAAUAGCCCUGAGGAGCUGCCCGGGGAGGCAAGACCAAGCAAGGAUAAAUAAAAAGAAAUCCAAGGAGCUAGAGCCAAGAGAUUAGCAUCAGUACUUCUAACUGGGGAACUCUGACAAAGCUUUGGAGAAGGUGCCACUUAAGUUGGCUUUGAUGGGCACGAGAAUUCGGCUAGGCAGUGAGAAAAAGGGAGGCUUCAAGAUCCAGACUAGAAACACUAGCUGUGGGAACGUGGGGUCCAGCAGGCAGGUCUGUGAGGUGAAGCAGCAAAGGAAGGCAAGGUGGGGAAUCUGUGGUCUUUUGUGUGAGGUGAACCUUGUUUAUUAUGUCACCCAGGGAGACCUGUUGCUAGCACACAGGUUACAUCAGGCAUUGUCCUCAUGGGAGGUUCCAGACAGGUGCUCACCCCUCCCUGUCAGGCCCUCACCCAAACUAUCUCUGAGAGGAUCAGAGUACCCGGGGCCUGAAGCUGCAUGCUUCUCCACACCCAUACCUAUUACUCAGGAAGACCAGGCUAGAGAGUACAAGCACAGAGCCCGGUGAUAAUGGACUGAUUUAAUACACAAAUAAAUGAAUAAGAAAUGGAUGAACUGAAAACAAAUAUAUUUGAAUAAAUAAUAUUGAAAACUUUGAGGGGAAGUCACAAAAUAAAUGUGUGUGUGGUGUGUGUGUGUGUGUGUGUGUGUGUGUGUGUGUGUGUCUGCUCACACAUGCAUGCAUACAUCCUUAAACAAAGUGGGGGGGGGAGUGUAAGCAACACUUCUUCCUCCACCACUGCUUUUCCUACAGCACACCCUCCCCUGCUAGCUCCCCACAGAGCCAAGCCCUAGAUGCCCCAGCAUAGGAAAACCCAGCCCUGCCCCGAGCUAUAUUCCUGGACUUGCAGGCUCUCCCUUGCUCCUCUGAGGGAGCUCCAGAGACUGUUCUAGGCCCUUUGACACCAAUACUCCUCCUAAGAUCCAUUUCCUGCCAAGGCUCAAGGGAGACUGCCAGCUCAUUCCUCAGUCCACCCUCAAUCAUGCCAGGGCCUUCCCAUCUCCCUUUGCGCCUCAGUUUCUCCAGCUCAUUCCCCCAGAGCACGCUGAGGACAGAUGGCCGCGAUGCCUCAUCCUAUAGGUCCCUCCUAAUCUCAUACCUUACAUCCAAGGAGGCCAGACAUCCUUGUCCCCUGUGGUCUUUUUGCAUCCACUGGCUCAGGACCUCAUCUGUCACCCAUGUCACCCGUGUCACAGUAAUACAGGGACCAAAUAACAGCAUACUGUGAGAAAAGCAGUCACCAAUUCAACCUUCCAGCCAGCUGUGGGGACUUGGGUAACAGUGACCUUCAUAGGCUCAUUUGAGUUUCCACUCUGGAUGCCCAUACUUAGAGAGAGUAAUGCUACCACCUCAACAACAACGACGGAAGCAGAAAAACGGACUUGUAUUACGCUUCACCAAGGCCAUAAGAAAACCCAGGGUGAGACCUAAGGAGCACCGAGAGAUGGAGCCCUCAUGGUGGCUUAUACAGAAGCUACAUAUCAGUAAGGACUCAGCUAGUCUUCCGCGAAGACUCCAAGGUGAAGGAGAAUACAAGGAAAGCAUCCCCCACGAUUCAAGCUAGAGAAAGAAAUAGCAGCCAUUGGGGGAGUGUGAUGGUUUGAAUGUGAAUCAUGUCUCACAGGCUCAUUCUUUGCGUACUUUUUCCCGUCCAGUGACACUAUUCUGGAAGGUUGUCAAAUCUUUAGGGGGUAUAGGUAUGGCUAGUGGAACGUCAUUAAUUAAGGGUCAGCCUUUGAAGGUUAUAUAUAACCCCUGGCUCUGGUCCCGGUCUCUGCUUCCUGGUUUACUGCUACGUAAAGAACUACACCCACACACUCCCCCCCCCUGCCAUGAACUCUGCCAUGCUCUCCCCACCACUAAGACUGUCUGAAACCAUGAGCAAAACUAAGUAUCUCAGUCCGUAAGUUGUUCUGUCGGUGUUCUGUCUCCCAAGCUCAAAAGCAGCUACUAUAGGGAUGGUCACAAAACCCCAUCUAGAUGUCACUCCCCACCUCCCCUAGAGAACAAAAUGAUUUUCUCUAUAGCAGAAAGAGCAAUACCUCAGGACACCGCUGAACAUUCUUUGGAGCUGGAGGAAGAGGGGGAGACUUCCAUGCCUGGAGGAGGGCAGGAACAUGUCCCAGAGUCACAUGGGAAGUUCUGACCCCAGCAGACAACAGAACACAGUGGAGUUCCUCAGGCACAGGUACAGGGCUGAUGUUGGAACUGUUUGCCACGGGGCUUGAAUAUCUGAGGCCGCUGUGUUAAAGGUGAAAUGGAAAAUAUGAGCAGUAUGGUAGAUGAGCAAACAGGAAGGGAGAGAGUGGGAAAGAAGGCCUGUUUCAGUGUGCUCACUAGCAGACUCGGUGGGGUUGAGCAAAGAGCUGGCGAACGUUGGUAGGAGUUUCCCAAUCUGUGACACAAACAAAAGAGAGCAAAACAGCCACAACCGGUGCCAAACGUCAUCCAGCAGCAUGAGUCUCGAUUAGAAGAAACAAAGGGAAAAACGUACCAGGGAUAUUUGAAUAAAUAAUGACUGAGAAUUUUCCAAAAUUUCUGCAGACACCGAGCUGUAGGUCACAAGAGCUCGCUGAUGCCAAGAUGAACAGGAAAGUUAUAAACAUGUCCAGGAAUAGCAUAUGAAAACCCUUAAAUUAGAAAGGGGAACAUGGAGAAGGCGAGUGGAGAGGUUUUUUUUUUAAAAGCGUUCCCAUUGCUGUGAACAGACACCACGACCAAGGCAUUAUGUAUGAAGGAACAAAGGAAAAUCGUAGCAGAUCUCUUGCUGGAAGUCAAAUCGUGCACAUCAAAAAAAAUAAGUAGUGGAGUGUGUUGUGGUAAAUAUGAAUUGGGGGUUUCUAGCUGUGGUGGUUGGUAUGUGCUUGGCCCAGACAGUGGCUCUAUCAGGAGGUGUGGCCUUUUGGAGUAGGUGUGGCCUUGAUGAAGGAAGUGUGUAACUGUCGGGUGUACUUGGCUUCCUUUGGAUGAAGAUGUAGACUCAGCCUUCCUGAAUGCUGCUGUGUUUCCUGCCUUGAUGAUAAUGGACUGAACCUCUGAACCUCUAAGCCAGCCCCAAUUAAAUGUUGUCAAGUGUAAGAGUUGCCUUGGUCAUGGUGUCUGUUCACAGCAAUGGAAACGCUAGGACACUACCCCAUGUUAGAUCAUUUAGUUCCCAAUAAAAGACACAAAACCUCUAUAUUUAUAGUAAAAUAGGGCUGGGAAGAUAACCACCCUCUGUGCUGUUUUGUCUACUUCCCUGUCAACAGCCCUGAGAUAUCGCUGGUCAUGUUCUGACUGAGCUGUUCCCACCCCAAGAGGCCGGUGCUCAUGGCCAUGUUUUCAUAACCCACCUACCUACUCCAUGGCAUCUUCUCUCUUCUCCUCUUUCUCUGCGCUCCUCAUCGUCUCUGCCUCAGACCCCAAGCCUGCCAACUGAAACUCCUCUGACCUCUCUUCUGUCCAGCCAUAGGCUGUAGGCAUCUUUAUUUAACCAAUAGUUUUAAAUUAAGGCACAAGGUUACACAGCAUUACUUGGUCUAUGAGGAUCUUUUCAUUCCCGAGAAUCUCCUCUUUGGGGACAACCAGAUCUUGUGGGGCCAGUAUUUAGCGUUAUAAUACAUAGCAAUAGGCUAAGCCUCAACAGGAGUGAGUGACAGUUUUUUUUCUUUUUUCUUUUUUUUUUUUUUUCGGAGCUGGGAAGUGACAGUUUUAAAAGCCGUUGGAAGAUGUGUAAACCGAUGAAGAUAUGUUGGCCUACUCAAGGGUUAAUUCCGGUCCCCACUGUGGGUCUACAUAAGGAUGGAGAAAGAUAAUUGACUUCACAAAAUUGUCUUCUAACUUCCAAGUUCACCGACUGGGGCCCACACAUUCAAGUAUAUGAGCCUUUGAAGCCGUUCUUAUUCCAACCACCACACCCAGGACUCAAAGUCCCAGGCAGGAAUUGCAGUAAGACUUCAUAGACCAGCGCUUCUCUCAGCCCUCAUCAGAGAACACUUCCUGCAAUAGAGAGAACAAGAAAGAGAAGACAUGAAGCUGUGUGGACAGGGAGGUAGGAAGGAUCUAUGAGAAGUUGAGGGAGGGGAAAGAACAUGAUCAAAAUAUAUUGUAUAAAAAUCUCAAUAAAAUGAAAAAAUAAAACAAA